Molecule: ribosomal RNA, 467 nt
Filed under: uncultured bacterium
Lineage: Bacteria
Description: partial 16S ribosomal RNA
Rfam family: Bacterial small subunit ribosomal RNA
Source: RNAcentral
GACGAACGCUGGCGGGGUGUUUAACACAUGCAAGUCGAACGGAAAGGCCCUGCUUUUGUGGGGUGCUCGAGUGGCGAACGGGUGAGUAACACGUGAGUAACCUGCCCUUGACUUUGGGAUAACUUCAGGAAACUGGGGCUAAUACCGGAUAGGAGCUCCUGCCGCAUGGUGGGGGUUGGAAAGUUUCGGCGGUUGGGGAUGGACUCGCGGCUUAUCAGCUUGUUGGUGGGGUAGUGGCUUACCAAGGCUUUGACGGGUAGCCGGCCUGAGAGGGUGACCGGCCACAUUGGGACUGAGAUACGUCCCAGACUCCUACGGGAGGCAGCAGUGGGGAAUAUUGCACAAUGGGCGGAAGCCUGAUGCAGCAACGCCGCGUGCGGGAUGACGGCCUUCGGGUUGUAAACCGCUUUCGCCUGUGACGAAGCGUGAGUGACGGGAAUGGGUAAAGAAGCACCGGCUAACUACGU